CAUCAGAGUAGCAUAGCAGAAACAUCGCAUUGGUUCCGGUUAUUACAGUACAAUAGAUACAGCUCAAGACAAGCCUCGAGCGAUAACAACAAAAUAAUAUACAAACCCCAAAAGCUCAGCAAAUAUACAGCACACUAGAAAAUUCACAAGUGCUGCUACAGUUAUUACUACUACUCAUAUUAACGUUAUUGCUACUACUACAAAUACUACCGCUGCCACUGCUACUACCAUCACCACUACAUCAACUAUAUGAACCAUGCAUAUUAUACACUAAUUAUCAUAGUCAAUCUCAGCAUCAUCGUAGAGUCCUUCCCGGUUGUCAUCCAUAACGUGAGUUCCUUCACUUCCAGCCAUAUAUUCUUGUUCAACAGAUUCUAAUGAUUCAACAUCUAUAUACAAGGAAUUAACAUAGGGGAUGAGUACAAAUGGUACUCAACAAGCCCAUCAAUAGCAAGAAAUGUGUGAAUGCAACUAUCUCUAGAAUCCAAGAUUCUUCAAAGAAUUCAUAAUGUUUUUGACAAAUAUUUGUUGCAAAAAUUCAAAUUUUAAUUAUAAAACACUACUGCAUAUAAAGUACCACAGGGUAGAAUCUCCGAUAGAUCCCUUUCCUGCCGCGUUCGCAGUUUCUACCCGAAACAGGGAGUGACAUAUCACAAUUCAUACACUCUGCAGAGGUGUGUCGCUAUACCCAUAGACGCCUUAAACCUUUUAACGCCCGCGCUACACAGCCACCACGCCAGCGCCUAAGCACACUUCAUGGUGUAUGCCGGCAAGGAUAAGGUCACAAGCUUUUCAUCAAUCCCAUUUGGCAAUAAUCUCUGCGGGUGAUUUCUGCAACAACGGCGAAUCAUCGGAUUCCGCAACAACGGCGAUCCACAUCAUCUAAUCAGAUUCCGCAACAACGGCAACCCUCAUCGCUAGCCCACGCUCACGGGAUUCGCGGAAGUCCUUAAGCCCGCAGGAUAAAGCCAUUAAGAAAGAACUACUAAACCAGCCUGUCCCAUUCCAGGUCAUAUGGUCGACAUGAUCGCUACGGCGCUUGCAUACCUUACAGCAGUUGUUAAUUAACCUUAUGAUGUUAAGCAUAUACAGCUGAACCACACAACAACUAAGUUCAGACUGCCAAUUAUCAAGAUCACCAAAGAACUGAUCCACAGAUUCACAUGUACAAUAUUAACAUUCAAAAAUAAAUUUCUGGUUUUCUAUGCAAUGGGGAGAGAUAUAUAGGUUGCAAAUAUUUGAAAUAACUAAGCAAUAUGAUCAAGAGAUGGACUUGCCUGGAUAGAAAACACCAUGAAUACCCUCAGAUUCAGUCGAAAUGAAUGAUUCCUCAGGAACUUGAACUUCGGAAAAAAAAUACUGAAGUCCGAAUAAGGACAUAUUCCGAACGCUUAAUUUACCGCAUGCAAUGCAUAUGAAUUGUGUAUUAUGAAUGGCAAAUAUAAUGAUCAGGUGCUGUUAUAUAAAUUUAUUUUUCUCUGCUCAGAUUUUAUUUUAGCACUAAUGCCAAAAAUUUAGAAUCAUCAAUUUGUAUGCUAUAUAAACUUGCUCACAUUCUAUUCUAAAUCUAAAUCUAAUUUCCUGGAGACUAUAUAUGAUCAAUUUAGUCCAGCCCACAAAACCAAAGCCCAACCAGCCCACUUUCUUUCUUCUCAUCUUCUUCUCUCGUUAUCUCCUUCUCUCCCUCACGCCUUCUCUCCUGUGCCGCCAUCCCCAAACAGUGCCGUCAACACCAACGCUCUCCCUCAGGCCGGCUGCCACUCCCCACUCCGGCGAUCUCCCUAGCAGCUGCCCCUGCAGUGAUUUGUUCUCCCUAGUUCCCACGAGCUCAUAUCCUGCUUUACCUCCAUCCUCUACUACCACCUCUCCUCUCUCAAGUAAUCUGAGCAUUGCUGUCCUUCAUGACUAUUGGUACUCAACUCCUGUGGUGGUCGCCGUGGAGACGGCCAAUACCUCAAUGGCAACUGCGGCAGCCACAACCCUCACCACUUCUAUUGGUUGGUUGAUUCUACUGAAUCAGCGUCUCCUCCUUCAGCUGGGGUACCUGUUCCUAAUGGAGCUGGAGCCCCUGCUCCACCUGUUGUUGGGUGAUUUUGCCCUCUUGUAUUUUUCUUUUCUUCUCUAACUCUCUGGUUAUGGUGGUUCUUCUUGCUACUGGUUUUGGUCUCUACGAGGAAAACGAGGCUCGGUCAGGAUGGAGUUCACACUGAUAUGGUUUUUGUCACAGGGACAUGGUUGACUACUAGGUGACUCACCUACUAAGGUUUUACUGGUGGUCUCCCUGUUUGACACCUAAGCAUGGUUUAUUCGGUGGAGGCUCAGCAUAAUUUUUCACAGAUUUGCAAUUAAAUAAAAAUCUAGUGAAAAGUAUGAUAUUUGUAACUUUUGCAUUAUAGUACCAUAGACUUUAAAAAUAUGGAGAUUACUUUGAGUUUAGGGACUGAUUUUCAAUUGCCCAAAAACUCACAGUUUACCUAAGAAAUAAAUAGUUUUGGAAGCUACUAAGAGAUGGCUAAUGUUACUAAUUUUGUGCCCCAAAAUGGUUUGAUUGCAAAAUAUGUGACAUCAAGCAACUCUAAAUUUUCUCUUUUGCCUAAAUCUUAUAUUUAAAAUCUCCUAAAGCAAUAAGGUGUGGUCACAGAUCACACCAACAUUUUUAUUUAAUUUUCAUUAUUUCUAUUUUAGAUGAAUAAUGUAUGAGAUGCGUUUGAUGUAUGCAACAACACUGUAUAAUGUAUAUGUGAAGAAAUAAAGAAUUUACUUAUGUGUCUAA
Molecule: long non-coding RNA, 2773 nt
Organism: Oryza sativa Japonica Group (Japanese rice)
Lineage: Eukaryota; Viridiplantae; Streptophyta; Magnoliopsida; Poales; Poaceae
Source: RefSeq, a predicted model, not a curated record